Molecule: transfer RNA, 72 nt
Filed under: Candidatus Shikimatogenerans bostrichidophilus
Lineage: Bacteria; Pseudomonadati; Bacteroidota; Flavobacteriia; Flavobacteriales
Description: tRNA-Ala
Rfam family: tRNA
About the family: Transfer RNA (tRNA) molecules are approximately 80 nucleotides in length.
Source: RNAcentral
GGGGAAUUAGCUUAGUGGUAGAGCAUCUGUUUUGCAUACAGAAGGUCAUCGGUUCAAAUCCGGUAUUCUCCA